GCCGGGCCCGUGGCUGGUGCCUGUGAUCCCAGCGGCGGGGGAGGCUGAGGCCGGCGGAUCGCUUGAGCUCAGGAGUUCUGGGCUGCAGCGGGCUGUGCCGAGCGGGUGUCCGCACUGAGUUCGGCAUCGAUAUGGGGAUCCCGGGGAAGCUCGGGGUCCCCAGGUUGCCUAAGGAGGGGUGAACCGGCCCAGGUCGGAAACGGAGCAGGUUAAAACUCCCGUGCCGAUCAGUAUAGCCCCUGCAGCCUAGUGGUGUCACGGAGAUAGCUGUGAAUGCUGGUGGCGUAGGGUCUGAGUAGAGUCCACAUAUCCGGACAGUU
Molecule: signal recognition particle RNA, 320 nt
Filed under: Chelydra serpentina (North American snapping turtle)
Lineage: Eukaryota; Metazoa; Chordata; Testudines; Chelydridae
Description: Metazoan signal recognition particle RNA (ENSCSRG00000009911.1)
Rfam family: Metazoan signal recognition particle RNA (bases 1-271)
About the family: The signal recognition particle (SRP) is a universally conserved ribonucleoprotein. It is involved in the co-translational targeting of proteins to membranes.
Source: RNAcentral